UACGGAGGAUGCAAGCGUUAUCCGGAUUUAUUAGGUUUAAAGGGUGCGUAGGCGGGGAUUUAAGUCAGUGGUAAAAGGCUAUAGCUUAACUAUAGUAAGCCAUUGAUACUGGGUUUCUUGAGUUCGGUAGAGGUAGGCGGAAUGUGUUGUGUAGCGGUGAAAUGCAUAGAUAUAACACAGAACACCGAUUGCGAAGGCAGCUUACUAUGCCGUUACUGACGCUGAUGCACGAAAGCGUGGGGAUCAAACAGGAUUAGAUACCCUGGUAGUCCACGCUGUAAACGAUGAUCACUCGUUGUUGGCGAUACACAGUCAGCGACUGAGCGAAAGCAUUAAGUGAUCCACCUGGGGAGUACGUUCGCAAGAAUGAA
RNAcentral lists this ribosomal RNA (371 nucleotides) under uncultured bacterium. RNAcentral's name for it is "bacterial SSU rRNA". It matches the Rfam family "Bacterial small subunit ribosomal RNA", at positions 524 to 898 of the family's 1533-position model. The record is from RNAcentral.